Molecule: non-coding RNA, 732 nt
Organism: Danio rerio (zebrafish)
Lineage: Eukaryota; Metazoa; Chordata; Actinopteri; Cypriniformes; Danionidae
Source: Ensembl
AUAAGGUGUUCACUGUUCAGAUAUGAAUAUUUUUUCUUUGCUCUUUUCAGGUUCUUUAGAUUUCUUUAAAAAUCCAAUUUUGUUUUCUAAUAAGCAAAAAGUAAAAUCACUUUACUCAUGUUUACAUGUUAAAUUGCACUUGUCUCUCUCUAUCUCUGUUAACACAUUUAUAUUUGUUUGAUUAAUUCUUGUGUCUUUCAGCCUGUUUCUGCCUAUCACCAUGAGUGAUUCCUCAAUACUCAGAUUUAUCAUCAAGAUCUCAAUUAUAAGCUCAAGUUUUGAUGACAACUUGGUGAUCUGCAGAAAGCACCACCAUGUAAGGAAGGCCAAGACCACUCUGGAAUCAGUCAAGGGUGAAAUGGAGUGAGGCAUACCAGGAUAUGCCUGGUUUUACUUUUGGGAAGGAGGUUGAACAGUGCAAUAUUUCUUCUAUAGGAUUGCAGUGACCAGACAUGCUACUGUAACUCUCAUGGUCAUGUGCUGGAAUUAGCAGAUAUUCAACAAUUUGGCCAUCUCGCUGACCUGUUGAUAUCAGAAGACCGCAGCAGCUCUGCAAAGCAAGUUGCAAAACAGAAUCCAUGAAACUGGCAGUGACUGGAAACCAAUUGGAAGACUUUGGUCUGUGAUGUAGAGGAGUGGGCAGAGGCAGAAGCAAAGACAACAAAAAGAAGAAGUGAUAUGGAUGUCUUCGUCAUAUGGCAUGACUCUGCUGACCCAGCAACAAAGAGGAGG